This is a long non-coding RNA of Notolabrus celidotus (New Zealand spotty), 767 nucleotides long. RefSeq lists it as uncharacterized. NCBI's taxonomy places the organism in Eukaryota, Metazoa, Chordata, Actinopteri, Labriformes, Labridae. The transcript has 2 exons. The record is from RefSeq and is a predicted model, not a curated record.
UUGACAGAGAUACAGAAGAAGAAGCCUGUAUUUGUCCUCAUGUCCCUGUAAUCCUGAAGGUUUUGGACAGACUCUGGUUGCUCCGCAGGGUUGGGAAAAUGCUGUGUGAGUGAGGAAACGACAGAUGUGAUUCAGAGCCUGUUCUUUGCUUAAACUGCAUGUUUCCAGUAGAGGUUUGUGUAAGAUAUCUUAAUUGUGAAAAGAAGUGUGCAUAUUGGACAUCAGAAAACGUGUUCAAUAAAGAGAUAUAUUAAUGAGUGUUUUCCUGUGGGACAGUUUCCUGCUGACUCUGUGCCUGUCACACGAAGCUGCCGUCUCUCAGUGAGCUCAUUGGGCUGAUAACAGACAUCUGUCUUGAAGGCUUCAAGAACUUCUCAGUCAAGCCCUGAAAAUCAAGUCCUAGACUCCAGUACUACAACACCAAUGAUGUAGAGCAUAAACGAGCCCUAACAGAGACUGCUAUGAAUGAGAGCUUGGUCAUAAUAGACAAGGGCCUCAUGGGAUGUCUGAGCUCCUCACUGUAUGUCAAAUAGACAACUACGCCCUAACAGUUGACUGCAAUUGAAUAUCAACUUGCUAAGGAGCAUUGUUGUUUAUUUGAUGAUAAAGCUGUUAUGUGAACAUGAAGUUAAUUUUGUCACCAUCAAUCCCAAUGACAGACAUAAACUAAACUAAGAUGCAUUCAUGAAGAAUCUUGUUGUGUCUCUGUGUUGUGUUUCAAAAGCUGUUGUAACCAUGACAACCAUGCAAAUAAAAUCAUGAAUGAA